AUUGAGACUUUAGUAUUUUCAUGCAAUUUAUGUCAACAUGAUAUGCUAAAGUGUCGGUUCU
RNAcentral lists this microRNA precursor (61 nucleotides) under Tribolium castaneum (red flour beetle). RNAcentral's name for it is "Tca-Mir-11624-P4_pre stem-loop". Lineage: Eukaryota; Metazoa; Arthropoda; Insecta; Coleoptera; Tenebrionidae. The record is from RNAcentral.